UACCCGGCUGAACUUAAGCAUAUCAAUAAGCGGAGGAAAAGAAAAUAACAAUGAUUUCCCUAGUAACGGCGAGUGAAGAGGAAAGAGCUCAAAGUUGGAACCUGUUUGGCUUAGCUAAACCGGAUUGUAAACUGUAGAAGUGUUUUCCAGACACGCCUGGUAAAAAAGUCCUUUGGAACAGGGCAUCAUAGAGGGUGAGAAUCCCGUCUUUGGCCAGAGCUGUUGUCUUUUGUGAUACAUUUUCAAAGAGUCAGGUUGUUUGGGAAUGCAGCCUAAAUUGGGUGGUAAAUCUCACCUAAAGCUAAAUAUUUGCGAGAGACCGAUAGCGAACAAGUACCGUGAGGGAAAGAUGAAAAGAACUUUGAAAAGAGAGUUAAACAGUAUGUGAAAUUGUUAAAAGGGAACCGUUUGGAGCCAGACUGGCUUGACUGUAAUCAAUCUAGGCUUCGGCCUGGAUGCACUUGCGGUUUAUGCCUGCCAACGACAAUUUUUUUUGAGGGAAAAAACUAUUUGGAAUGUGGCCCCCCUCGGGGGGUGUUAUAGCCUUUUAGAAAAUACCUUGAAUUGGAUUGAGGAACGCAGUGAAUGCCUUUAGGCAAGAUUGCUGGGCGCUUUCGCUAAUAAAUGCUAGAAUUUCUGCUUCGGGUGGUGCUAGUGUUUAAAGGAGAAACUCGCUUGGUAUAUUUUUUAUUCGCUUAGGUUGUUGGCUUAAUGACUCUAAAUGACCCGUCUUGA
This 735-nucleotide ribosomal RNA is filed under the name fungal sp. APA-2013. RNAcentral's name for it is "eukaryotic LSU rRNA". It matches the Rfam family "Eukaryotic large subunit ribosomal RNA", at positions 22 to 657 of the family's 3401-position model. Lineage: Eukaryota; Fungi. The record is from RNAcentral.